Small nuclear RNA from Fukomys damarensis (Damara mole-rat), 103 nucleotides. Lineage: Eukaryota; Metazoa; Chordata; Mammalia; Rodentia; Bathyergidae. The record is from Ensembl.
GUGCUAGUUUAAGCAGCACAUACACUAAAAUUGGAAGGAUACAGAAGAUCAUCAUGGCCCCUGCGCAAGGAUGACACACAAAUUCGUGGUGUUCCAUGUUAAA